UGCACAACCUUAAACUUUAAUAAAAUAUUACAUUUUAUUCGCCAGGGUACUACGAGCAUAAGCUUAAAACCUAAAGGACUUGGCGGUGCUUUAGUCCCACCUAGAGGAGCCUGUUCUAUAACCGAUAACCCCCGUUAAACCUCACCUUUUCUUGUUUUUCCCGCCUAUAUACCGCCGUCGUCAGCUUACCCUGUGAAGGUUAUCUAGUAAGCAAAACUGAUUAAAUCUAAAACGUCAGGUCGAGGUGUAGCAUAUGAAAAGGAAAGAAAUGGGCUACAUUUCCUAUCUUAGGAUACCACGAAAAUUGAUAUGAAACACGCACAUGAAAGGAGGAUUUAGUAGUAAGAAGGGAAUAGAGAGCCCUACUGAAACUGGCCCUGAAGC
Molecule: ribosomal RNA, 384 nt
Filed under: Fundulopanchax mirabilis
Lineage: Eukaryota; Metazoa; Chordata; Actinopteri; Cyprinodontiformes; Nothobranchiidae
Description: partial 12S rRNA
Rfam family: Bacterial small subunit ribosomal RNA
Source: RNAcentral